This 69-nucleotide transfer RNA is filed under the name Bos taurus (domestic cattle). It matches the Rfam family "tRNA". Rfam says of the family: Transfer RNA (tRNA) molecules are approximately 80 nucleotides in length. RNAcentral also lists the same sequence under 1 other name. The record is from Rfam by way of RNAcentral. Lineage: Eukaryota; Metazoa; Chordata; Mammalia; Artiodactyla; Bovidae.
CCUGGUAGCUCAGAUGGUAAAGCAUCUGCCUGCAAUUCAGGAGACCUGGGUUCGAUCCCUGGGUCAGGA